This 253-nucleotide ribosomal RNA is filed under the name uncultured bacterium. RNAcentral describes it as "partial 16S ribosomal RNA". It matches the Rfam family "Bacterial small subunit ribosomal RNA", at positions 524 to 776 of the family's 1533-position model. The record is from RNAcentral.
UACGAAGGGGGCUAGCGUUGCUCGGAAUCACUGGGCGUAAAGGGUGCGUAGGCGGGUCUUUAAGUCAGGGGUGAAAUCCUGGAGCUCAACUCCAGAACUGCCUUUGAUACUGAGGAUCUUGAGUUCGGGAGAGGUGAGUGGAACUGCGAGUGUAGAGGUGAAAUUCGUAGAUAUUCGGCGGAACACCAGUGGCGAAGGCGACUCACUGGCCCAAUACUGACGCUGAGGCGCGAAAGCGUGGGGAGCAAACAGG